GACGAACGCUGGCGGCGUGCUUAACACAUGCAAGUCGAACGGAAAGGCGCUUCUUUUGUCUGGUGCUCGAGUGGCGACCAGGUGAUUAAUACGAGAGUAGUCUCCCCCCGCCUUUGUGUUAACAUCCGCAAACUAGUGUGACUACUGCAGAGUAUCUUCUGCCUCUUGGUGGGGGUUGGUGAGUUUGGGCGGUUGGGGAUGGAUUUGUGGCUUAUCAGCUGGUUGGUGGGGUUGUGGCCUACCAAGGCUUGGAAGGGUAGCCGGCCUGGGUGGGUGAUCGGCCACAUUGGGACUGAGAUGCAGCCAAGACUGCUGAGGGUGGCAGCAGUGGGGCAUGUUGCACGAUGGGCGGAAGCCUGAUGCAGGAACGCCGCGUGCGGGUUAACGGCCUUCGGGUUGUAAGCCGCUUUCGCCUGUGACGAAGCGUGGGUGACGGUAAUGGGUAAAGAAGCACCGGCUAACUACGUG
This 468-nucleotide ribosomal RNA is filed under the name uncultured bacterium. RNAcentral describes it as "partial 16S ribosomal RNA". It matches the Rfam family "Bacterial small subunit ribosomal RNA", at positions 28 to 507 of the family's 1533-position model. The record is from RNAcentral.